RNAcentral lists this unclassified non-coding RNA (217 nucleotides) under Hevea brasiliensis (rubber tree). The record is from RNAcentral. Lineage: Eukaryota; Viridiplantae; Streptophyta; Magnoliopsida; Malpighiales; Euphorbiaceae.
AUGGAAGAAAGAUCCAGUAGACUGAAAAUAAUGUGAAUAUUAGAUAUUGUAUGAACCCAGAAAACAAUAACACAUACAAAUGCAAAUGCACGUAAUAGAUGUGAAUAUUUGUAAAAAAAAAUAACUCAAUAUGCUCUUACUAGCUCGUUUUGAAUCUGAUUUUAGUAAUCAAAGGAAAGAAGAAUGGCCUGACCUCUGUAUCGGGAUCUGAGGAAGA